This 143-nucleotide unclassified non-coding RNA is filed under the name uncultured Helotiales. Its description in RNAcentral is "sequence contains ITS2". The record is from RNAcentral. Lineage: Eukaryota; Fungi; Ascomycota; Leotiomycetes; Helotiales.
UGACCAAUCACGCCUAGCGUGGUCUUGGGGUUCGCAUCUUGCGGCCCUUAAAAUCAGUGGCGGUGUCCGUUGGGCUCUAAGCGUAGUAAUUUUUCUCGCUUUUGGACUCUACGGGUGCUUGCCAUAACCCCAAUUUUUUUAGG